This 254-nucleotide ribosomal RNA is filed under the name uncultured prokaryote. RNAcentral's name for it is "partial 16S ribosomal RNA". It matches the Rfam family "Bacterial small subunit ribosomal RNA", at positions 524 to 777 of the family's 1533-position model. The record is from RNAcentral.
UACGGAGGAUCCGAGCGUUAUCCGGAUUUAUUGGGUUUAAAGGGUGCGCAGGCGGGAGAUUAAGUCGGUGGUGAAAUUUUGCAGCUUAACUGUAACAGUGCAGUUGAUACUGGGGAGCUAGGAUUUGGUUGCUGUGGGUGGAAUGUGUGGUGUAGCGGUGAAAUGCUUAGAGAUCACACAGAAUAUCGAUUGCGAAGGCAGCUCACAAAGCCAAGAUUGACGCUGAGGCACGAAAGUGUGGGGAUCAAACAGGA